UACAGAGACCUCAAGCGUUAUCCGGAAUCAUUGGGCGUAAAGCGUACCGAUAUGUGGUUGCAAUAGUCUUGGGUAAAAGCCGGAAGCUCAACUUCCGCGUUUGCUUAAGAUACUUUUCGACUAGAGGGGCAAAGAGGUGCUUGGAACCAACGGUGUAGUAGUGAAAUGCGUUGAUAUCGUUGGGAACACCGAAAGCGAAGGCAGAGCACUGGGUGCCACCUGACACUGCUAGGACGAAAGCGUGGGGAGCGAAUGGG
This 257-nucleotide ribosomal RNA is filed under the name uncultured bacterium. RNAcentral's name for it is "partial 16S ribosomal RNA". It matches the Rfam family "Bacterial small subunit ribosomal RNA", at positions 524 to 776 of the family's 1533-position model. The record is from RNAcentral.